AGAGUUUGAUCAUGGCUCAGAGCGAACGCUGGCGGCAGGCCUAACACAUGCAAGUCGAGCGCCCCGCAAGGGGAGCGGCAGACGGGUGAGUAACACGUGGGAACGUGCCCUUCAGUUCGGAACAACCCAGGGAAACUUGGGCUAAUACCGGAUACGUCCGUAAGGAGAAAGAUUUAUCGCUGAAGGAUCGGCCCGCGUCUGAUUAGCUUGUUGGUGAGGUAACGGCUCACCAAGGCUACGAUCAGUAGCUGGUCUGAGAGGAUGAUCAGCCACACUGGGACUGAGACACGGCCCAGACUCCUACGGGAGGCAGCAGUGGGGAAUAUUGGACAAUGGGCGCAAGCCUGAUCCAGCCAUGCCGCGUGAGUGAUGAAGGCCCUAGGGUUGUAAAGCUCUUUCGGCGGGGAAGAUAAUGACGGUACCCGCAGAAGAAGCCCCGGCCAACUUCGUGCCAGCAGCCGCGGUAAUACGAAGGGGGCUAGCGUUGCUCGGAAUCACUGGGCGUAAAGCGCACGUAGGCGGAUCGUUAAGUCGGGGGUGAAAUCCUGGAGCUCAACUCCAGAACUGCCUUCGAUACUGGCGAUCUUGAGUCCGGAAGAGGUGAGUGGAACUCCUAGUGUAGAGGUGGAAUUCGUAGAUAUUAGGAAGAACACCAGUGGCGAAGGCGGCUCACUGGUCCGGUACUGGCGCUGAGGUGCGA
RNAcentral lists this ribosomal RNA (700 nucleotides) under uncultured bacterium. RNAcentral's name for it is "bacterial SSU rRNA". It matches the Rfam family "Bacterial small subunit ribosomal RNA", at positions 8 to 756 of the family's 1533-position model. The record is from RNAcentral.